Molecule: ribosomal RNA, 503 nt
Filed under: uncultured Desulfobulbus sp.
Lineage: Bacteria; Pseudomonadati; Thermodesulfobacteriota; Desulfobulbia; Desulfobulbales; Desulfobulbaceae
Description: bacterial SSU rRNA
Rfam family: Bacterial small subunit ribosomal RNA
Source: RNAcentral
ACGCCCGCUCAAGAAACCAAAGGAAGUUGACGGGGCCCGCACAAGCGGUGGAGUAUGUGGUUUAAUUCGAUGCAACGCGAAGAACCUUACCUGGUCUUGACAUCCCGGAGACCCUUAGGAAACUAGGGGGUGCUUCCAUCUGGAAGAAUCUGGAGACAGGUGCUGCAUGGCUGUCGUCAGCUCGUGUCGUGAGAUGUUGGGUUAAGUCCCGCAACGAGCGCAACCCUUGCCUUUAGUUGCCAGCAGUUCGGCUGGGCACUCUAAAGGGACUGCCGGUGUUAAACCGGAGGAAGGUGGGGAUGACGUCAAGUCCUCAUGGCCUUUAUGACCAGGGCUACACACGUACUACAAUGGCCGAUACAAAGGGCAGCGACACUGCGAGGUGAAGCCAAUCCCGUAAAAUCGGUCUCAGUCCGGAUUGGAGUCUGCAACUCGACUCCAUGAAGUUGGAAUCGCUAGUAAUCGUGGAUCAGCAUGCCACGGUGAAUACGUUCCCGGGCCUU